GAGAACCCCCCAAGCGCCUCCACGCCAUUUGUAUCUGCUGGAGGGGGUCCUCCUUCAACAGCCUCAACUGCGGAAGCUGCACCAGGCGGGGAUGAAGGGGCUCACAACUCACCCAUCAUCAUCACCGAGUCCCCCUCGUCACCACCACGCCAAGAAGCUCCAACUCACCAACCAAUUCAAGAAGGUGGUGGCGAGAACCAGCAACAGGC
Molecule: long non-coding RNA, 209 nt
Filed under: Phaseolus vulgaris (common bean)
Lineage: Eukaryota; Viridiplantae; Streptophyta; Magnoliopsida; Fabales; Fabaceae
Description: long non-coding RNA (PVUL_LNC005036)
Source: RNAcentral